RNAcentral lists this long non-coding RNA (426 nucleotides) under Brassica rapa (field mustard). RNAcentral describes it as "long non-coding RNA (BRAP_LNC001265)". Lineage: Eukaryota; Viridiplantae; Streptophyta; Magnoliopsida; Brassicales; Brassicaceae. The record is from RNAcentral.
AGCGUUAUCUAAGUCUGGGGGAGGUUCUACUGAUAUUGUGUUUUAGUUAUGAAAAAAAAAACAAAAAAAACAGAUCCAUAUAGACGAUUGCUCAGAUCAUCGACCGAUGAGACCACCUCGAUAUCGAUCGACAACGCUUCAUCAACAACGAUCGAUUGUCACUUUAUUGUAUCGAUCGAUACUGAGCAGGUUAUCGUUCUUACUUGUUAAAUUUUGUACUUCUGCUUUAUGAUUUUCACCUUACCACCGACAGUGUUACACUGGGGACAGUGUAAUUUAAGUCUGGGGGGAUUACUAACGUUUAUCUACCUUUAUGAGUCUUAUUUAAAAUAUUUUCAAAAUUUGUUUUUAUUGAGUCAAGAAGGGGGUGAUGAUCUAAUUCGAUUUAUUACUUGUCAUCUAAACCACUCUUUAGACCAGUCUUCG